GACGAACGCUGGCGGCGUGCUUAACACAUGCAAGUCGAGCGGUAAGGCCCUUUCGGGGGUACACGAGCGGCGAACGGGUGAGUAACACGUGGGUGACCUGCCCUCAGCUCUGGGAUAAGCCUGGGAAACCGGGUCUAAUACUGGAUAUGACUCCAUGACGCAUGUUGUGGGGUGGAAAGCCUUGUGCGGCUGAGGAUGGGCCCGCGGCCUAUCAGCUUGUUGGUGGGGUGANGGCCUACCAAGGCGACGACGGGUAGCCGGCCUGAGAGGGCGACCGGCCACACUGGGACUGAGACACGGCCCAGACUCCCACGGGAGGCAGCAGUGGGGAAUCUUGCGCAAUGGGCGAAAGCCUGACGCAGCGACGCCGCGUGAGGGAUGACGGCCU
RNAcentral lists this ribosomal RNA (388 nucleotides) under uncultured bacterium. RNAcentral describes it as "bacterial SSU rRNA". It matches the Rfam family "Bacterial small subunit ribosomal RNA", at positions 28 to 417 of the family's 1533-position model. The record is from RNAcentral.